Camellia sinensis is the source of this 359-nucleotide non-coding RNA. The record is from RefSeq and is a predicted model, not a curated record. Lineage: Eukaryota; Viridiplantae; Streptophyta; Magnoliopsida; Ericales; Theaceae.
UCCCAAGUAAAGGUUCAUCCAAACCAUCUAGCCCUGAUGUCUCCAAAUGUUCGUGUCUUUUCCCAUCGACAUCCCCAUGGUGGAGUCUUCUCCUCAAAGCUCGUGAUGUCAUGAGUUAAGAUUGUUAUAUAAGCCUAGAGAGAGAGAGAGAGAGAGAGGAUCUACGAUGUGUUGGAUUGUGACAAAGGACAAAGCAAGAGAGAGAUCACGACGAUGAAGACGACGAUUGGGACGAUGGUGAAUUGGUUAUCGAACAGAGCUAGGGCAAGCACAGAAAAUCACCUUCCCAAUAAACCCUACCCACAACUCUCUCCUCUCCUCUCUCUCUCUCUCUCUAUGUCACCGAGACACCAUAAACC